Long non-coding RNA from Gopherus evgoodei (Goodes thornscrub tortoise), 6067 nucleotides. RefSeq lists it as uncharacterized. NCBI's taxonomy places the organism in Eukaryota, Metazoa, Chordata, Testudines, Testudinidae. The transcript has 3 exons. The record is from RefSeq and is a predicted model, not a curated record.
AAGGGUGGGAUUUUCAAAAGCUCUCAGAAUUGACCUCUCUCUUUCACUUCAAUGGGAGCAGAGUUAGGUCAGUACUGAGUGCUGUUGAAAAUUCUGCCUCAAAUGCUUUGCUGAAUUAAGGCCUUUGUUUCUUUUUUUGUUCCAUCCCUUUUUCUCUCUUUAACUCACUUUCACUUCUCUGACACUUCUCACACACCCUGUUUCCUACUAACCUUUCCUCUUUCACUCAGCUUCCUAUUAACCUUUCCUCACUGACUCUCCCCUACCUUUCUUCCCUUUGUGGCUGUCACUACACUUUUUUCAGUUAGUGCCUUUUUCACUGGUUGCCUGAAUCUAACUGCCAUAGAACCUUUUGAUUUCAACUCUGCCUCUUCUGCUGAAGAAAUACAAGCCAAAAAUGUUCAGCUACAGCAGAAUAGUGAGGAAAAAAAAUCAAUGCAUGUGUAGUUUGUAAGAGGGCAAAGCAGGACAUAAAAGAUAUAAAAAGUUAUUUCACGUAACAGAAUUAAAUGCUAGUUCUAUUCAGUAACAGGAAUUUCUGGUGGUUGUUUAAUAUCCAUUGUCUUCUUAAAAAGUUAGUGCACAUUGAAAAUAUUUCAUUGAAUGAAUGUGUAUCACUGAACCUUUUUUUAGGUCUAGGGAGAGGCUAAGUGGGAGUGGAAGAGAAGCAGGAAGUUACAGAGAAAGUGGUGAAGUGCAGUGCAUUCUAUAGGCCUGUUGCCUGUUAACUGCAGUCUUGGUGAAUAUCAAAAAAAGGUAAUCUGAACUGCACUUCUUUUAUUUUGCACCUUCAUGAAGGGACAUAUAAUUAGGGCCCUGUAUACUCUGCGGCACAGAAGGACCAAAUUCUAUGGAAACAAUCCUGAAGGCUCUGGAUUAAUGUAUUCCAUAAGUAUGGAAUACCUUUCAUUCUAAUCCCCCUGUCAUACUACAAACACACAUGGGUGGCUCAUCACUGAAAACGCUAAUUGACGUAAAAUUAAUUGAUGAUUAUUUUUUUGCAAUUAUUUUUGAGAAUGGAUUUUUUUUGCUAGGGUUUUCAGAUGGCCCAGCUCCAAUCCUAGGCAUUGAUUCCCAUGAUAUUUUCUUAGCAGCCUGGUUUAGAACCACCUUCUUUCCAUCCCUGUCAGAGAAAAAGGGUUUGUGGCUGGCUUCAGUGUCUCAUUUACCUGGCUCCCUAGGCCUUGGCUGCUGUGCUGUUCUCUACUCUAACAAGCUCACCAAGCUAUACUUUUGGCUCUCUCCACUCUCUGAACUGCAAACUGGACUUCAGCUCUUAGACACACUCUGCUGCCUAGCUCCAUGGAACAGUGUAGGAAGCAUGCACAAUAAUCCACUUAAUCGGCUUUUUUUUAGGGAAAGAUGGAGAGCAAAAGGUUACUGAAAGCAGCAGGGCAAUGAGACGGACCACAAAAUUUUGGGUGGCUGUCUCCAGAAAUAGACCAAAUUCCAUGCCAUCUUGGUAAAAUGCCAAAGUCUGUGGGUGCAGAAUCAUAGAAUCCAAGGGGCCCUGACUGCAAGGAAUAGGGCACAUCACACCUCUCAGAGCUAUUGUUUCAGGUUCUUUGCAGAUUCAGGCAGGAAACAUUGCAUCAGUUUACAUUCAUUUGAUGUUUUGGAAGCUGUCUCUACAACCAUAACAAUUAGAAAUAAGGCCAAGAUUUCACCCAUAGUUUUUUUUAAAUGGAAGUUUAGAUUCUGCAGCACAGUUCUGUGGAAAGGGGUGAAUUCCUCAGCCAUGGAAUCACAGAAUGCUCAAGGCUCUGCAUAUGACAUGUUACUGAAUUAAAAAAAUACUCCUCACUAUCACAGUGAUUGGUCUCAAAUUUAUAGGAGCCAAACUGCCUUAAACCCAGGACUCUGGAUUUGUUGGGAUUGUGAAAGUGGGCACACAUUUUAUCUGCUUCAUUGCUCACUCACAGGAGAGAUGGCAGGGGAUAGAAAACUUUGAUAACUUUGGACUCUGAUCUCUGUAGAACAUAGGAUUCUUGUCAGUUUAAUUUUUUUGUCUGCUCACAAGAAUAGAGCCAGCAGACGAACAGAUAAAUAGUAUGGUAUCUGUGAUUCCAACAGAAUUGUGUUUAUAUUAUGAAUGUAUUUAUAUUUACUUCUAGUUUAUGAACUGGUUUCUUAAGUCUUGUAGCUUUUGUUUUUGAGAACUAGUUCUCUAUUACUAGUUACUUCUGUAUCUGUGUGCAUGUGUAAAAAGAGGAGACACCUUUCCCUCUGCAAGUUUCUAGGAGUGUCAAAUUUGAAGGCUAGACUCAUGAUGGCUAUUGACAGUGUCCCUUGUCCAUUACAAACCUGUUUUUAAAGAGUUUGUAGUUUAUAUAUAUAUGAACAUGAUCACUGUUGAUGUUUCCCUGAAUGGACUCAACCUAGAAGUGUUCUUUAAAAAAAAACCCUGAAUGUAAGUUCUGUGUGAACAGGGAAUGAGAUAUGUUUAUUUGUUUAAAAUGACUUUUUGCACUUCUUGUAUCUUAAACAUCUUUGAUUUAAAAGCUUAAUUUUAGCAAAUAAUCAACAAUACUUUGUUUUCAUAAGAAUUUUUGUUUAAAAGGCCAACAAAUUUAACUUUAAAAAGUGGCUGGUCCUAAACUGAUUUUCAUGGCAAUUUUUUAUUACAUAUUUUCUAAGGCCCUGAUCUUGGAAGCUGCUUGAUACUGUCCCCUGCGCCAGCAUGCAGCCCAUUGACUUCUUUGGGACUCCGGACUGGCUCAGGGAUCUGCCUGCAUAGUUCAGCUUCCAGGCUCAGAAUCUAAAUAGGUAUUUGCACAAUAAUCCAAAGAAACAAGGGUCGUUAAUGAUUACAAAAUGUGUUAAAAUGUGUCAAAAUAUAUAUUUGUACCAUAUAACAGUGAAGGCUUCCUGAAUGUUAAUGAAUAUUAUAUCAGUUAAUGUACAUAUCCUUAAGAUUUUUUUCAAACCCACAUUUAAAAAAAAGAGAAUUAAAUAAAAAACAAAUACUAAAACUGAUAUGCAAAUGAAAAAAAAUCAUAAAUACUACACUUAAUCAGGCUGUGAGAAGACACAAGAGCACAUUAAUAAUUAAUUUUUAUCUCCCUACCUAUUUUUGCAGGUGUGUGAAGGAGCUUUCAUUAUUGUAAUUUCUACAUAAGCCCAGAUCCUGCAGUUGACUCUGUGUGGGUGGGACUCUAUUGAAGUCAAUGAGACUCCACACUGGGGAUGGGUUCUCCUCAUGAGAAGUCAGUUGCAUGGUCGGGAUCCUAGUUUGACGCCUCAGGGUGCAUUCCGGAGCCUGCUUACCAAGAUAAUCUGUCUCAAAGCUCUUUUAGACAUUUUGGGUGAGAUUCUGCACUGCUCCUCUAAGAGACACAGCACAGUGUUCACAACCCAGGUGGGUCUGAGGUAGGUUUAAACCACUUUUGUGCCCUCUCAAUCCUGGGAUGCUCCACAGCCCCUGGCAUAAUGCAGACAGUCUCAGAGGCCUAAAUUAUGACAGUCUCCUUGAGCAGCCCUCUGAGCCACAGUGCUGCACAGAAUCUCUGCAAUGUUUAAUCUCAACCUCUGACAUAUCCUCCCACCUCCAGUCAUGCCAUCCUGCUCCAGGGCUUUGGAGGGGGUCCUCAGAAGGCAGCCUUAUGACUGUCUUCCUCAGUUCCUGUGCCAGGGGUAUUCUACCCUGGCCAAGUAAGAGCCUCUGUACACUUUUCUGACCCUUUUAGAGCCUCUAUACACUUUUCUGACCCUUUUACCCAGCAUAAAGGGCCAGAGCAUAGGGUGUCACCCAUUGUAACUUUGAAAAUGUCUUUCUGGAGAUGUGACACACUAUGAGCUCCCUUCUCAGGGGGAGCUUUGAAUCCAGAUCCUUUCCAGACGACCUAGCUCUGUGAUCUUUAAUGGCCAUGGUUAACUCAACAAUCUGCUUCCCGCCCAAUGAGUUUUAUGUCAAAUAUACAGUUAAACAAAAUGUUCCUAAUUAUUUUAAAUUUGGUGGUGUAUUACACUUUCUAUGGCCCUUGUCACUGUAGUAUCUGAACAUCUUUCAAUAUUUAUGAAUUUAUCUUCACAAUACCCUUGUGAGGUACAAAAGUGUUAAUCAACUUCAUCUUAUAAUUUGGGAAACAGGUGCAGAGUGGCUAAGUGUCUUGCCAAAAGCCACACAUGGAAGUCUGGGAAAGAGCCAGGCAUAAAAUCCCAAUCUCAGCACUCAAACCUGUGUCUUGGCCACUAGACCACCCUUCCUCCAUCUUGAUGUUGAUGUAACAUCACAAGUAUAGUUCAGUUUGAAGUGUCAGACAGAGCUGUAGCCAGUAAUCUGCAACUUCUGAGGAGCUAAGGAAGUGGAGGUGAAGGGAACAAGGUUUACAUUCCUAAUGCAUCAGUUAACCCUGCUUAUUUGAGGAUAUUCAGCAAAUCAUAUUAAAGCUGUUGAUUCUUGAAUUUUAUAUUUGCAGAUCACCUUUGUCUACAAUGCUGAUACAUAUCCUAAUGUAAUGUUUUAUGGCUCUCAUAAGCAUGAAGCAUACAAACUCUAUGUCUAAGGUACUCUGAAAUUGCAUGGACUUAAUGCCAACCACUGUAAAGUCAUGGCUAUCACUGAACCCUGCUAGAGCCUAGAGCUGAUGCAUAAGGGCUAAAGUAUAUGACUUCCAUUAUAUGUCAUGGGUUUGUAAUUUUUUUUUUGUUUGCAAAACCAUACUGUUAAAUAAUAAUAAUUCCUGCCACUUACUGGCACAACUCUUGACCAGAAUCACAGUAGCUGUGAUGUUGCAGCAGAUCAAUGGUCCACUGACACAAAUUUUAGAAGUCUAAAAAGGGAAUUGGAAGGGGAGGUUAAUUUGAAAUUAGUCAUGUGCUGAAUGUCCCACUUAUGCUUAUUUAGCUGAGGUAAUCACAAGAAAAAAAAUAACUCUUUUAAAAAAUAAAGUUUGUAUUUUUUAGAAAACCCCCAGAGUAUUAUCUUGUAUGAACUCUGAACAUUUUGUAUUUUAACAUAAAAGUAAUUAAUAAUUACACACUGUACAUAUGGAAAUACAGGUUUGAUCCUCAUAAUAAAUUAAUACAAUUUAGCUUUCUUUAAUGUGUAUGCUACACGGUGGAUUCUAAAUUCCAGUGUAUUUUUUACAUUUAAAACAAAUGAGACUAUUUAUGAGGGUAAGGAUAUAUAUGUGUAAUACAGAAAGUAUGCAUAUUUUAUUUACUGAACACUAGUGCCUUCACACAACCUAUUUUUUGUUGACAUUUGUUUAUUUUCUCUGGGAGAAUGACAGAUCUGCAGCACAACAUAAUACCAAUCCAAAGGCCAGAGUUUCAGAGCAGACUGGAUUUCAGGUAAAUAGAAACUGAUCCCAUAGUGACAGUGAUGGCCCCACACUUCCUGCUUCAGCUUUUGAAAGACCUCCCCACCAGCUAAGUCAUUAAACCACUUCUUGUUUCCAGACACUGACAACUUUGGAAUUUAUUUUACACUGCUACCAUUCAGACUACUUACAAGGACAGAAUGAACUGUUGUAGGCCCAGAUUCUCCGAUGCACCAAAGCUCUGGUAAAUGUAGCAGAAUUGGGUAGCCAUCCAGUAGCUGGUUAUAGCUCUCUGAUCUUUGCCCAGCCCUGUCUCUGGUACAAGUUUGAGCACCAUAGGGGCAGCUCUAAUUUACCUAAGCUGACAUUGAUUCCUAAUUGACUGUCCACCAGCUGAAGAUAGCUGUAGUGCAGUGAUCUUUAGGCAUAUUUCCUAGGAUGGUGUUGCAAAAGUAACCUAUGAUGGCUCUUUGCCUGCUGGGACUUACCCACAUCAAGGGAAUCCUCAGCAAGUGAGAUAAUGGGCAGUUUUCAUUUUUUUGUCCCAAUUCUCAACUGUUUUUUAAUCAAAUCAGAAAUGAUGAAAUGCUUGGAAAACAGCACAUUAGAUUUCUUAUGAAGGUAUAUUAACAAGAAAACAACAAUAAUUUAUCUAAUUACGUAUAUGCUGAAACAUGUACAAAGUUAUCUACUUGGUUAAUGAAAGUUAGUGUAGUGUCAUUGAUAGCGAGUUACUGUUAUUAAUAUACCAUAAACUGAAAAGGUGUAUGUACUCCAAUCUUGUGCAAUAAAACAUUUGGAAA